Molecule: long non-coding RNA, 576 nt
Filed under: Monodelphis domestica (gray short-tailed opossum)
Lineage: Eukaryota; Metazoa; Chordata; Mammalia; Didelphimorphia; Didelphidae
Description: lncRNA (ENSMODG00000035258.2)
Source: RNAcentral
GAUUAACUCUCCCCUGCCCAUUUUUAGAUUUAACCUCAAGAAGCACCUCACUUAUCCUUAAGUGGGGAGGUCUAUGACCCACCUGUGCAAAAGUGGGUGAUGUAUCAAAAACCACUGACUGCCUCUUUGACAGUCCCAAGCAAAAUUAUAAACCAUAAUUGAUCCAUGUAAAAGCAGAGGAAGGCACAGGAAGUGACAAAAAGAAGUAUCUUUAAAAGAAAUUACCACUUCCUUUGAAAUAAGGUCUUUGUUCUUUGGAGUUCUGAAUUCCAGUUGGGUCUUUCAUCUUGGAGGAGCUCUGGCUGAGGACUGCUUUCUACUGGGACUACCACAUGGGAGUGUUGACAAGAAAGAUGGAAUUGAAUCUGACCAGCUGAACUUGCUCCAGAAGAGACAUGUACUGAAUUAAAAAGAGAGAGGAGGGAUCAUCAUCAAUGUAGCUGUGAAUGUGACCAGAUGGCCAGUCACACAUGCUCACACCCGACUGAGAAACAAAACAAGGAAAGAAUCCAGUACAACUCCAAGGGACUCAUGAUGAAAAAGACUAUUCACUGCCAGAGAAGAAAUAGAGUCCAA